CUUCCUUCCCAGCCCUCUGAUGAAGGUCCGAGGCAGUCCAACGGGAGACGCUGGAUGCCAGACAAGGGUGCUCGUCUCACACCGGGGCUUCAGUGAGGGCGCAGCAUGGGCUGUCCCAGUGGCACCCGCUCUGAGCAAGUGGCUGGGGCCCCACUGGGAAAGGGCUGCACAUACCAUCGACGUAGACAACCCCUGGCACAAAACGCAGUCUUUUGGCAGAAUCUCGACUCAGACCCUGGAGCAGGAGGAGACGGGGUCUAAGCCCCACAGCCAGAAGCCCAGGACGCUUGCCCAGCAGAGGCCACUCUCCACCCAGUGUCCAGAGAAAAGCCGCUGGGCCCAUAUCAGCUCACCAUGCCCCCUGCCCAGACACCCUGACCACGCAGCGUGGGACGGAACACGGUAAAGAGGGCCUGUGUGUCCCACCACCAGGCCCAGGCCUCCCAGGAGCCCCAGUGCCAUGGCAAGAAGCCUUGACUGCCUCCCAUGCUCCACACCACGCCCGCCGACCAGAUGGGAGCCGGCCCCUCAUGCUGUCUCCCCCACGGUCCCCUCCCCGCAGGGCAGGGGCUGCCUCUCUGCCAGCACACCCCUGAUCCCUUCAUCUCACUUGGCACCCCCACUGGCAUCACCCCUUAAAC
This is a non-coding RNA of Manis javanica (Malayan pangolin), 641 nucleotides long. The record is from RefSeq and is a predicted model, not a curated record. Lineage: Eukaryota; Metazoa; Chordata; Mammalia; Pholidota; Manidae.